RNAcentral lists this ribosomal RNA (254 nucleotides) under uncultured bacterium. RNAcentral describes it as "partial 16S ribosomal RNA". It matches the Rfam family "Bacterial small subunit ribosomal RNA", at positions 524 to 776 of the family's 1533-position model. The record is from RNAcentral.
UACGUAGGGGGCAAGCGUUGUCCGGAUUUAUUGGGCGUAAAGAGCGUGUAGGCGGCCACACAGGUCAGCUGUGAAAAACUCGAGGCUCAACCUCGAGACGUCGGUUGAAACCGUAUGGCUAGAGUCCGGAAGAGGAGAGUGGAAUUCCCGGUGUAGCGGUGAAAUGCGCAGAUAUCGGGAAGAACACCCGUGGCGAAGGCGGCCUGCUGGGCAGUAGCUGACGCUGAUGCGCGACAGCGUGGGGAGCAAACAGG